UGAAACUGCAGCGUCAACCUAAGGGCAUCCAAGCAGAAGUGCUGGGGAACGGGAUUGGAAAUACCCAGAAACAAAGUCCUUGCCUAAACUCAGUGGAAACCUGUGUUCCUCCAGGAAAUGAAAAACAAUGGCAAAGUUACAUGAAUUUUGAAGCAUAAACAUAUUGCAAAAUUGAAAGAAAACAGAAUAUUCUAGAAUAAUGGCUUGGAAAUGAUCCUUGGUUCAGAGGGAAAGAAAGAAAGGAGUUGCAAUGCGUGAAGAAAUGCCAGCAGAGGCUGAUGCAUUGUCUUGGAGAGAUGGAGAGUGGAAUUUGUCAGGAUGUCUCUUGUACUAAUGCGGAAAAGUGCUGCAUGCAACACACGUGGAGAUUCAGUGACAAGAGAUUUAGACCAGUGUGUUCCUAACCAUCAGGUGGGAUGCCUACCACAGCAUGGCUUGCCAAGCGGUGCCAUGUCCACACCUGGGAUCCAAACCGUCGAACCCCGGGCCACCAAGUAGAACGUGCGAACUUAACUGCUGUGCCACCGGGCCGGCCCCCUUUUUUUUUUUAACAAGAAGAUAAACUAAUCUUUCAUAAAGACAGCGAUUUACCCAGCACAGUACCAUUAAACUUGAAGUCUGGCUAGAAAAUACUGUGGGAAGCUCACAUGAGCAACUGUAUAAACUUUCCAAGAUCUAAAAUCCAUAAGGAAAUCAAAGGUGAAACUCUGCAAAGAUAAAGGACUGAGCAUCUGAACAAGUGAGCAUCAACCAAGUUAUGCUGUGAUUACAAACAACCCUAAAAUCUCAGCAGCUUAAGACAAGAAAGGGUUAUUUUUUGCUCACACAAAAUGACCACUGAGGUUUGUCUGGGGGCUCCCUCAGGUACCCAGGCUAAAUCAG
Molecule: long non-coding RNA, 882 nt
Filed under: Equus caballus (horse)
Lineage: Eukaryota; Metazoa; Chordata; Mammalia; Perissodactyla; Equidae
Description: lncRNA (ENSECAG00000042387.2)
Source: RNAcentral